Molecule: ribosomal RNA, 305 nt
Filed under: uncultured bacterium
Lineage: Bacteria
Description: bacterial SSU rRNA
Rfam family: Bacterial small subunit ribosomal RNA
Source: RNAcentral
UCCUACGGGGGGCAGCAGUGAGGAAUAUUGGUCAAUGGACGAAAGUCUGAACCAGCCAUGCCGCGUGCAGGAAGACGGCUCUAUGAGUUGUAAACUGCUUUUGUACAAGGGUAAACCUGGAUACGUGUAUUCAGCUGAAAGUACUGUACGAAUAAGGAUCGGCUAACUCCGUGCCAGCAGCCGCGGUAAUACGGAGGAUCCAAGCGUUAUCCGGAUUUAUUGGGUUUAAAGGGUGCGUAGGCGGUCGGAUAAGUUAGAGGUGAAAUCCCGAGGCUCAACUUCGGAAUUGCCUCUGAUACUGUUCG